Oryza sativa Japonica Group (Japanese rice) is the source of this 992-nucleotide non-coding RNA. The record is from RefSeq and is a predicted model, not a curated record. NCBI's taxonomy places the organism in Eukaryota, Viridiplantae, Streptophyta, Magnoliopsida, Poales, Poaceae.
GUAAGUCAUUCUAGCAUUUCUCAUAUUUAUAUUGAUGUUAAUGAAUAUAUAUGUUUAGAUUCAUUAAUAUCAAUAUGAAUAUGGAAAAUGUUAGAAUUAUUUAUAUUAUGAAACGGAGGAAUUACGUAAUAAUAACCAUUUAUGGUGGUGUAGCCAAUUAUUUUUCACCCAACAUUUCGUCAGGGAUGUCAGGAAGUGAUUGUUUGCUGUCAGCCAUUCAGCUUGAUGACCCUAAAUCACUGGACCCUCGUCAUGGUAGUACUUGUUUUGCUUGUAGCAAUGCCUAGCUUUCAUUUGCAUAUCGACACAGUGAUCUCUUGUUGCUGCAAGCCUGAAAUUGUCUGGAUGCUGCAUCUGAAGCUACCUGAAGCAAAGCAACACUGCAAGAUUUAUCCCAUGGAAGGGAUUCUUGGAUCAUGACAUGUUUCUUGGCAGCCUGUGUGGUCUUGACAAAGAUUCACUUCUCAGAAAGCGAUGUGUAAGUAGAAAUCUGUUCUGCUAUGGAAAUUAUGGACCAGUUUUUGAGUUUUGACCCCUGCACAGAGAUGAUUUGGCUCAACUACCCCAUCCUUGGUGAAUCACAGCCACAAAUUUCUUCUAUUUCAAAUUCUGAAUUCUGUGACCUGCACUCCUGGUUUUCCAAGAUUAAGAGAAGGGGAGUUUUAAAACUUUAGCUGAAAGGAAAAACAAGGGAACAAACAAGAAAGAAAGAAAGGAAACUUUAAUGGUUAAGUCACACCUCGUCUCAAGAAAUUUUCCUCUCCAAGCUCUUCUCAGGAUUCAUCCAAAUUUCAAAGAGCUUUGGGCAAAUGGUUGGAUACACCCAAGUUCCUUCACAAAUUAUUCAAGAGGAUUGAAUUCUUUGUAUAUUUAUUUGUUUAUGAUGUUUUAUAGCAUUCCAAAGGAAAAGUGUAUGCUGAACCAAACUAAAUCAAACAAAAUUAAUAAACUGUGAGAAUCUUGCAAGUAGCCUCCAGCCACCAUCUCACCAA